Molecule: non-coding RNA, 22 nt
Filed under: Mus musculus (house mouse)
Lineage: Eukaryota; Metazoa; Chordata; Mammalia; Rodentia; Muridae
Source: RNAcentral
UGAGGUUUGCAACAAGUAGGAU